AUAACCGUUGAAGACGUCUCAUUCAUCUUUGCAUUGCGAUCCCCUCCAACCUCAAUUUGUGGGGAUUUUUGAACUUCGACCGGUCGAAAAUAGUAUCCAGAUCCAUAAUGAAUUGAGCUGCCACCGUUUUCGUUGGUCUACUCACUUUUGUUACGCUCAUUCUAGAUUUGUCAUACAGAAACAACUAACGUGACCCAAUGAAGGCCCCAACAAGGGGAUCCCUUAGUGAAGGAGCUGAUUCCAUCAAUUAUAUUUUCCAAACGCAGAUCCCCCAUUGACGAAAAUGGAACAACCAUCCUCUACUAUAGCACAAAGUGUGUGCCGAUGAAAGAGUUUCAUACCUGCCGGCUAUAUCUGCAGUUGAAGAAGAUAUGUGCUGCAGUCGUGGCAAUCGCACAAGACAAA
Molecule: long non-coding RNA, 405 nt
Filed under: Zostera marina
Lineage: Eukaryota; Viridiplantae; Streptophyta; Magnoliopsida; Alismatales; Zosteraceae
Description: long non-coding RNA (ZMAR_LNC002345)
Source: RNAcentral